Molecule: non-coding RNA, 72 nt
Organism: Danio rerio (zebrafish)
Lineage: Eukaryota; Metazoa; Chordata; Actinopteri; Cypriniformes; Danionidae
Source: Rfam
GGCUCGUUGGUCUAAGGGUAUGAUUCUCGCUUAGGGUGCGAGAGGUCCCUGGUUCAAAUCUUGGACGAGCCC